CCUACGGGGGGCUGCAGUGGGGAAUAUUGGACAAUGGGGGGAACCCUGAUCCAGCCAUGCCGCGUGUGUGAAGAAGGCCCUCGGGUUGUAAAGCACUUUCAGUGAGGAAGAACGCCUGGUGGUUAAUACCCAUCAGGAAAGACAUCACUCACAGAAGAAGCACCGGCUAACUCCGUGCCAGCAGCCGCGGUAAUACGGAGGGUGCGAGCGUUAAUCGGAAUUACUGGGCGUAAAGCGCGCGUAGGUGGCUUGAUAAGCCGGUUGUGAAAGCCCCGGGCUCAACCUGGGAACGGCAUCCGGAUCUGUCAAGCUAGAGUGCAGGAGAGGAAGGUAGAAUUCCCGGUGUAGCGGUGAAAUGCGUAGAGAUCGGGAGGAAUACCAGUGGCGAAGGCGGCCUUCUGGACUGACACUGACACUGAGGUGCGAAAGCGUGGGUAGCAAACAGGAUUAGAUACCCUAGUAGUC
RNAcentral lists this ribosomal RNA (465 nucleotides) under Vreelandella stevensii. RNAcentral describes it as "partial 16S ribosomal RNA". It matches the Rfam family "Bacterial small subunit ribosomal RNA", at positions 338 to 795 of the family's 1533-position model. The record is from RNAcentral. Lineage: Bacteria; Pseudomonadati; Pseudomonadota; Gammaproteobacteria; Oceanospirillales; Halomonadaceae.